This 266-nucleotide ribosomal RNA is filed under the name uncultured bacterium. Its description in RNAcentral is "partial 16S ribosomal RNA". It matches the Rfam family "Bacterial small subunit ribosomal RNA", at positions 565 to 829 of the family's 1533-position model. The record is from RNAcentral.
GAGCACGUAGGUGGGUUUGUAAGUCAGAUGUGAAAGCCUUCUGUUCAACGGAAGAAUUGCAUCUGAAACUGCGAAUCUUGAGUAUAGGAGGGGAGAAUGGAACUUCUGGUGGAGCGGUGAAAUGCGUAGAUAUCAGAAGGAACGCCGGCGGCGAAAGCGAUUCUCUGGCCUAUUACUGACACUCAGUGUGCGAAAGCUAGGGGAGCAAACGGGAUUAGAUACCCCGGUAGUCCUAGCCGUAAACGAUGGGCACUAAGUAGAGGGGU